AGCAUCAUUAACGCAAACGCUUAGUGAGUUGCUUGGUGAUUUUUGGAAUUAAAAAAAAAGAAAAAUGCAUUAUUUACUGAGAAUGCGCUGCUUAAUUAAGCAACAGAAGCAACGUGGUUUAUUGGACACGUGUUGUGUUCUCAUCACUCGGCCGUGAAACCGUCUUCGUCUCUCCUCGUCUCUCUCUUUCCUCGACGACUCCGCGAUGAAGCUCUCGGCGUCUGUUGUUGUCGAUCCUCCAUCUUUCUCCUCGACGCCUCCAUGAUCAAUCGACAAUGAUCUCUCUUUUGUCUCUCUCUAUUUCUCCUCGACGCAAUGAAUCUCUCGGUGUGGAUCCUCCAUCACUCUCUCGACGCCUCACCGCGAUGAGAGAGAGAGAUUGUGAAUCCGAUCUCGUCACGGCGGAGACUCGCGGUGGUGGUGGUUACUUUCUCUUCUCUCUCUCUUUGAUCAUCUCUUUACAAAUGUAUGUAUACGCUUCUGGUGAUGAUCGUACGACAUCAUUUGGGUGUUAACGAUAAUAAUAAAGAUUGAACUUUUACUGUCUCCUCUGCAGUAAAAUUGAUUCCUUUGGAUGUUUUGGAUUCUGGGUUGGAUUUGAUUACUUUUUUUUCUUGAAACAAUCCGAAAGUUUGGAUUUUUGUGGGAUAUUUAAAAAUUGACAUUUGUUUGUGUUGAAAGGCUUUGGCUUUAGUCCACAGUCAAGAGUUAAUAUUGGAGAGGAUGGCUAUAUUCAAUUCUCAUGACUACUCAGUGGCUUUGGUUUACUAUAGUCGAUCAAACUGAUCAGAAUUUUUCUAUAUGUUUAUUCGUUUUGUUUAACUGUGUUCAAAGUAGGAUCUCUAGUGUAAAACAAUACUUGUUUCAGUUCUGUCGGAAUCUGAUGUGUUCUCUGUUUCAUUUCUAUUGGAAUCUAAUGUCUGUCUUUGUUUUUUUUUUGAUGUUUUUCAGGAAUGAACAACAUGCUUACAUUCAAGUCUGCCCAUAAAAUCCAACAAAUUUCAAUGUGGACAACGUCCGUGUUGCCAAGCUGUUGGGAGGAGGAUUGCACAACUCUUGCAUUGUCCGCGGAAUGGUCUUGAAAAGUGAUGCUGUGGGUAGCAUCAAGCGAAUGGAGAAAGCAAAGGUUUUGAAAACAAGAGAUUACAUCCAAGUUGAACAAGCUAAGCCUUAUGAGAGCAUUAUCGUAAAACGGCAACCAAAACUCACCAAAUCCAUCUUCUAAAUUGGAGAAAUAUGAUCAGGGAGUCUCGAAGUUGCCGAUAGGUAGUUUUAACCAUCCAAGUAGUAGCUGGAGGAUGUCAUUCAUUUUUUUUAUCUUUUUAUAUAUAUAGGAGUUGCUGUAUGUGUAUAUAUAUUGGAUUA
Raphanus sativus (radish) is the source of this 1365-nucleotide long non-coding RNA. RefSeq lists it as uncharacterized. The transcript is spliced from 3 exons. The record is from RefSeq and is a predicted model, not a curated record. NCBI's taxonomy places the organism in Eukaryota, Viridiplantae, Streptophyta, Magnoliopsida, Brassicales, Brassicaceae.